RNAcentral lists this ribosomal RNA (615 nucleotides) under Alternaria papavericola. Its description in RNAcentral is "eukaryotic LSU rRNA". It matches the Rfam family "Eukaryotic large subunit ribosomal RNA", at positions 1 to 628 of the family's 3401-position model. Lineage: Eukaryota; Fungi; Ascomycota; Dothideomycetes; Pleosporales; Pleosporaceae. The record is from RNAcentral.
UUUUGACCUCGGAUCAGGUAGGGAUACCCGCUGAACUUAAGCAUAUCAAUAAGCGGAGGAAAGGAAACCAACAGGGAUUGCCCUAGUAACGGCGAGUGAAGCGGCAACAGCUCAAAUUUGAAAUCUGGCUCUUUUAGAGUCUGAGUUGUAAUUUGCAGAGGGCGCUUUGGCUUUGGCAGCGGUCCAAGUUCCUUGGAACAGGACGUCACAGAGGGUGAGAAUCCCGUACGUGGUCGCUAGCUAUUGCCGUGUAAAGCCCCUUCGACGAGUCGAGUUGUUUGGGAAUGCAGCUCUAAAUGGGAGGUACAUUUCUUCUAAAGCUAAAUAUUGGCCAGAGACCGAUAGCGCACAAGUAGAGUGAUCGAAAGAUGAAAAGCACUUUGGAAAGAGAGUCAAACAGCACGUGUAAUUGUUGAAAGGGAAGCGCUUGCAGCCAGACUUGCUUGCAGUUGCUCAUCCGGGCUUUUGCCCGGUGCACUCUUCUGUAGGCAGGCCAGCAUCAGUUUGGGCGGUGGGAUAAAGGUCUCUGUCACGUACCUCUCUUCGGGGAGGCCUUAUAGGGGAGACGACAUACCACCAGCCUGGACUGAGGUCCGCGCAUCUGCUAGGAUGCUG